GCUGGGUGUGGUGGUUCACACCUGUAAUCCCAGCACUUUGGGAGGCUGAGACAGGUGGAUUGCUUGAGCCUAGGAGUUCGAGACCAGCCUGGGCAACAUGGCAAAACCCUGUCUCUA
Molecule: unclassified non-coding RNA, 117 nt
Organism: Papio anubis (olive baboon)
Lineage: Eukaryota; Metazoa; Chordata; Mammalia; Primates; Cercopithecidae
Rfam family: Metazoan signal recognition particle RNA
About the family: The signal recognition particle (SRP) is a universally conserved ribonucleoprotein. It is involved in the co-translational targeting of proteins to membranes.
Source: Ensembl